RNAcentral lists this small nucleolar RNA (131 nucleotides) under Pelusios castaneus (West African mud turtle). RNAcentral describes it as "Small nucleolar RNA SNORA17 (ENSPCEG00000001119.1)". It matches the Rfam family "Small nucleolar RNA SNORA17". From Rfam's summary of the family: snoRNA ACA 17 belongs to the H/ACA family of snoRNAs and is predicted to guide pseudouridylation of the 28S rRNA at positions U4659 and U4598. It shares the same host gene together with ACA43. Lineage: Eukaryota; Metazoa; Chordata; Testudines; Pelomedusidae. The record is from Rfam by way of RNAcentral.
CAUGCCCCUGGUGGCAUUACACGUGUGGCUGUUAUGCCACGUUUGUGUCAUUAGGUGGCAGAGCGGAAGAGGCUGUGUCUACGCUGUGUCCUAAACCUGUGAGCACUCGGAAUGAUUAGUGGCCUGGCUUU